Molecule: ribosomal RNA, 1848 nt
Filed under: Triticum aestivum (bread wheat)
Lineage: Eukaryota; Viridiplantae; Streptophyta; Magnoliopsida; Poales; Poaceae
Description: partial small subunit ribosomal RNA
Source: RNAcentral
AUGUACAUCAAGAUUGAAUCAAUAAGGUUGGCUUUCAAUUUACAACCGUCAACUCAAGUUCUCAUACGUGCAGAUUUAUAUCAAGGAUUGGUUGAUAGCGUUGUAGCUGGUGAGACACGUGCAUGCAUGACAGGAAAGCGUAUUGUGCUCCCCCCAAAAUUUAUUGGAGGACCAAGAGACAUGCGUCGAAGGUAUUUAGAUACAAUGGCAUUGGUCCAGCGGUUCGGGAAGCCAGACUUAUUCAUUAGAAUGACUUGCAACCCGCAGUGGGAAGAGAUAACUAGAGAGUUGGAACCAGGCCAAUCACCACAAGAUCGUCCAGAUUUGGUAGCACGGGUCUUCAAGGCAAAGUUGGAGGAUCUUAAAGAUCUUUUAUUCAAGAGAAAAUUAUUUGGUGAAGUCGUCGCACAUGUUCAUGUAAUAGAAUUUCAGAAGAGAGGCCUACCGCAUGCACACUUCUUAAUUAUUCUGAAGUCAAAUUGUAAGAUUACUAAUCCAGAUCAAUAUGAUGAGAUAAUAUCAGCAGAGAUCCCAGAUAAAGACAAAUACCCUGUAUUACAUGCUUUAGUUAUUAAGCACAUGAUGCACGGACCAUGUGGAGUUCUCAACAGUAAGAAUGCUUGCAUGGAAAAUGGAAAUUGUAGAUACCAUUAUCCGCGGACAUUCUCAGAUACAACGUUACAGGGAAAGGAUUCAUAUCCAAUUUAUAGACGGAGGGAUGAUGGUCGUCGAGUGCGCAUUAGGGGUGCGGUGUUGGAUAAUAGAUGGGUUGUUCCUUACAACCCAUAUCUACUUAUGCGAUACAAUUGCCAUAUCAAUAUAGAAGUUUGCUCGAGCAUUAAGGCUGUUAAAUAUUUAUUUAAGUACAUAUACAAAGGUCAUGAUCGCGCCUCCUUUGUCAUUGAGUCCAGAGGAGAUAAUGUUGUUAUUGAUGAGAUUCGUGAAUAUAGGGAUGCAAGGUUUAUAUCACCUCCAGAGGCAAUAUGGAGGAUUUAUUCUUUCAAUCUAAGUGAGAUGUCACCUUCAGUUUUGCAGUUGCAGGUCCAUUUGCCAAAUAUGCAUCUUGUGCAUUAUGAAGACUCUGAUAAUUUGGAUAAUGUUUUACGCAGAGAAUCAUCUUCAAAAACAAUGCUUAGUGAGUAUUUUAGAAUGAAUUCUGUUGACAUUUACGUGAGGAAUUUCUUGUAUAAGGAGUUUCCGGAAUAUUUUGUGUGGGAUAGCAGUUGCAAAAGUUGGAGACGUCGCAAGCAGAAACGAAUUCAGAUUGGGAGACUUGUGUCCGCGCACCCUGCUGAAGGAGAGCGUUAUUACUUGAGGAUACUACUAAACCACGUCAGGGGAGCCAAAUCAUUUGAGGAUCUACGAACGGUUGAAGGUACUAUUUUCUCGACUUUUAGAGAGGCUGCACAGAGAAGGGGUUUCAUUGAAGAUGAUCAUAGUAUUUCUGAUUGUCUCAGCGAGGCUGCGACAUUUCAAAUGCCCUCUGCACUUAGAAGACUUUUUGCAACAAUUUUAGUUUUCUGUGAGGUAACAAAUGUCCGUGAACUGUGGGAUAAGCAUUUAGAAGCCAUGUGUGAUGGUUUUCGAAGAGAAAAUGUAAACGCUGAAGUAACUGAGCAGAUGGUGCUUAAAGAUCUUAGAAGUCUGUUAUAUUCAAUGGGGAAGGACAUAAAUAACUUUGACUUGCCAUGCUUAUUGGAUAGCAAUGAUUUGGAGAGCUUAAGUUGGAGAGAAGUAUGUGAUGAGAUGUCUAUUGAGGUUGAGCAGGAACACUUGGAUUUGUAUGACAAACUAAAUAGUGAGCAGCGACUUGCUUUUGAUGAGAUAAUGACUCAUGUCUUGCACUAG